UAGAGUUUGAUCAUGGCUCAGGAUGAACGCUGGCGGCGUGCUUAACACAUGCAAGUCGAACGAUGAAGAGAGCUUGCUCUUGGAUUAGUGGCGAACGGGUGAGUAACACGUGAGUAACCUGCCCUUAACUCUGGGAUAAGCCUGGGAAACUGGGUCUAAUACCGGAUAUGACCUGUCACCGCAUGGUGGUGGGUGGAAAGAUUUUUUGGUUUUGGAUGGACUCGCGGCCUAUCAGCUUGUUGGUGAGGUAAUGGCUUACCAAGGCGACGACGGGUAGCCGGCCUGAGAGGGUGACCGGCCACACUGGGACUGAGACACGGCCCAGACUCCUACGGGAGGCAGCAGUGGGGAAUAUUGCGCAAUGGGCGGAAGCCUGACGCAGCGACGCCGCGUGCGGGAUGAAGGCCUUCGGGUUGUAAAGCUCUUUUACCUGGGAAGAUGAUGACGGUACCAGGAGAAUAAGCACCGGCUAACUUCGUGCCAGCAGCCGCGGUAGCCC
RNAcentral lists this ribosomal RNA (499 nucleotides) under uncultured bacterium. RNAcentral describes it as "bacterial SSU rRNA". It matches the Rfam family "Bacterial small subunit ribosomal RNA", at positions 1 to 526 of the family's 1533-position model. The record is from RNAcentral.